CUUGGGGAAUAGGGAAAGGGCAAUUAAAACUAAACUCUGACUCGGCCCUCCAGAUGGGCUAUGGCCGGGAAGAGGUCAGGGAGCAAGGGGGCCACAGGGAUCCGGGGCGUGGGACUCGGGCCCCGGCCUGAGUCUUAGGUAUCCGUAGCGCCCUCCUUCUUCCUCCUCUUCGCUGAAUACAGCUCACGGUAAGUACUGGUUCACACAGUUCGUUCUCGGGGUGCUUACUCUCUUUCUCUUUCUCCACAGGCAACGGCUGGGACACACAGGCACAGUUAGUUCAGCUUGGUUUUGCUCUCACCUCUUCGCUGAUUACAGCUCACAGUAUCAACUUGGGCACAAUAGCACAGUUAGUUUGCUUUGAAUGGCUCUCACCUCUGGGCUGGACACAGCGUACUGUGCUAUCUCCGGAGAUCUGAAGCACGCUCACAACAUAUACUGUACUGAACUAGGCUAGGACCAGCAGUCUCCUUGUCCUCCCGCGACGAAGUGCGUGAAGGCGGGGGUUUAUCUGACAGGACACACGGCAAUACACAGCAGCCCACAGCAAUAUACAGCACCACGUCAAAAUUAUAGGUUUUCACAGCAUGAAGACUCACCCCCCACACUCAGUGUACGAAAAGGACACCCGUCUUCCUUCACUUCGCUUGGUUCGGAUCUGGCGAUGGAAUAUGCGGCCUAGCUAGUGAUGUCGUCGUUGUGACUACUUCAAUAAGUAUUCCUUCGGCUCUCCCA
This is a long non-coding RNA of Cyprinus carpio carpio, 735 nucleotides long. The record is from Ensembl. NCBI's taxonomy places the organism in Eukaryota, Metazoa, Chordata, Actinopteri, Cypriniformes, Cyprinidae.